Long non-coding RNA from Heterocephalus glaber (naked mole-rat), 1575 nucleotides. NCBI's taxonomy places the organism in Eukaryota, Metazoa, Chordata, Mammalia, Rodentia, Bathyergidae. The record is from Ensembl.
ACUGAAUGCCCUGGCUCAGGACUGGGGGCUGCAGGAAGUAUCUGUGAGAGGUGAAAACACACGCUGCCUGUGUGAAGGGCAAGGCCUUGUCUGUGUGGCUGCUCCUUAGUUAAAAGCCCAUUGACAAGUACGGGCCCUGCCCACACCUAUUCCCACUCUGUUGCCAGAAUCCACACAGUUGCUCCUUAUGCACCAAUGUUGGUUGGGACUUUUCCAUUGACAAGGCCAGUGAAACCCUCACUCCUGGAGAAAGCACAUAGUCUCUACAUCUGGUCACUGGAAAACAGUUUUUUCAGAGAGAGACCGUGCAGGUUUUGGUUUUCUACAUGCAUGCUUUAGAAUAGUCAGGCUUUACAUACAAAAGGAGGGUCCCAGACCACAGAGCCCUCCCUCCCAUCUCUCCACAAUUCCCAACAGAAUCACCUUCCAACAGGAAGAGGCCUCUCCUCCUCCUGAAGGUGAUCUGGCUGUGAGCAAGGGUGCUCUGUUUCCCCAAGUGUUCCAGUGGAUUCUUCUGGCCCCAGGGCAUCCUGCCUCGCAUGGCAUCUUGGCGCCUUUGAGCUGUAGACCCCAUGACCCACUCUCCACUUCCCCAUGUGGCUCACAUGAGGGAUAUUUGGGGACCCAGCAGUCAGAGCUGUGGCUGAGCCACUGUGGCUGGCUCCUGGGGUCCCUUCGUGCAUAAGACUGGGCCUUCAGUUCACAGCACUGACACCCUGGCAGGGUGCCUCUGCCUGUGUCUCCAUCCAGCUAGGAGCAGUUGCUGGUGUCUGAACACAAAGAGAGCUUUGAUUGCCCAGAGAGGAAAGAGGCUGCUGGCCAGCUGGGGCCAGGCCCAGGGCAGAUGCAGGAUCGCCAAAGUGAGGGCCAAGCAGGGUGGAGAGGAAGGCUGGCAAGGUUUCCCCAGAGUGUUUGGAUCUUAUUGGGGCACAGCCGGAACAUCCUUAUAAACAACCCAAACCCAACUUCUGGGGCUGUCCACACACAGCUUGAGCCCCACACAACAUAUUUCUGGCAUGGUAGGCUGAGUGCCACCAUUUUUGUUCAUUCUCUUUGACAGGCAGAGCAGGGGCGAUGGGUCAGAAAGUUGUAAAUAAUAAAUAUAUUUAUGCCGCUAUUUAUUUUUUCAAUACCUGUGGCCUCUUGCACUGUGAAUGCUCUGUGAUAAUGAGAUUCUUAGUUUAAUAAAACUGUCAUCAAAUUUGAAUGAAUUGAUAUUACUGGUUCCUAAACACUGGCAUGAGUUUACUUUUAUUGUGAAGAAAAAAAUCUAGAGUAAAUAUGAACUAAACUUUCCUAAGAAACCUAGCAGUCAGUAUUGUAACGCAAUAUAUCAAAAAUCUGUACACUGUCAAUAAAAUAAAGGAGCACAAUUCAUCUUGCCCCAUGUAGAGCUUCCAUUCAGAUUUUCAGAGACACGUACAUAUUUGUAUUUUUUGAAAGAAUUACACUGGAAUAACAGCCAUUGGAAACCAUUUCUAUUUGCAUAUUGAGAAAAAAUAAACUUCAAAAAGGAUGCGAGGUUGGAGCUUUUGAUUAUAACGGUUGGAAAUGAAUAAAGCAAAGAAGAACUUG